GGAGAGGUGGCUGAGCGGCUCAAAGCGUCCUCCUGCUAAGAGGAAACGGGCGAUUAACGUCCGUCGCAGGUUCAAAUCCUGCCCUCUCCG
RNAcentral lists this transfer RNA (90 nucleotides) under Scytonema millei VB511283. Its description in RNAcentral is "tRNA-Ser". It matches the Rfam family "tRNA". Rfam says of the family: Transfer RNA (tRNA) molecules are approximately 80 nucleotides in length. Their secondary structure includes four short double-helical elements and three loops (D, anti-codon, and T loops). The record is from RNAcentral. Lineage: Bacteria; Bacillati; Cyanobacteriota; Cyanophyceae; Nostocales; Scytonemataceae.